Long non-coding RNA from Oncorhynchus mykiss (rainbow trout), 1977 nucleotides. The record is from Ensembl. NCBI's taxonomy places the organism in Eukaryota, Metazoa, Chordata, Actinopteri, Salmoniformes, Salmonidae.
UCCCAAGAAUCAAACCAAAUACCCUGGCGUUUCAAGCACCAUGCUCUACCACCACCUGAGCUACAGGGGCACCAUGCUCUACCACCACCUGAGCUGCAGGGGCACCAUGCUCUACCACCACCUGAGCUGCAGGGGCACCAUGCUCUACCACCAUCUGAGCUGCAGGGGCACCAUGCUCUACCACCAUCUGAGCUGCAGGGGCACCAUGCUCUACCACCAUCUGAGCUACAGGGGCACCAUGCUCUACCAACUGAGCUACAGGGGCACCAUGCUCUACCAACUGAGCUACAGGGGCACCAUGCUCUACCAACUGAGCUACAGGAGCACCAUGCUCUACCAACUGAGCUACAGGAGCACCAUGCUCUACCAACUGAGCUACAGGAGCACCAUGCUCUAACAACUGAGCUACAGGGGCACCAUGCUCUAACAACUGAGCUACAGGGGCACCAUGCUCUACCAACUGAGCUACAGGGGCACCAUGCUCUACCAACUGAGCUACCGGGACACCAUCCUCUACCACCAACUGGGCUACAGGAGCACCAUGCUCUACCACUAACUGGGCUACAGGGGCACCAUGCUCUACCACCAACUGAGCUACAGGGGCACCAUGCUCUACCAACAACUGAGCUACAGGGGUACCAUGCUCUACCACCAUCUGAGCUACAGGAGCACUAUGCUCUACCAACUGGGCUACAGGAGCACCAUGCUCUAUCACUAACUGGGCUACAGGGGCACCAUGCUCUACCACCAACUGGGCAACAGGGGCACCAUGCUCUACCACCAUCUGAGCUGCAGGGGCACCAUGCUCUACCACCAUCUGAGCUGCAGGGGCACCAUGCUCUACCACCAUCUGAGCUGCAGGGGCACCAUGCUCUACCACCAUCUGAGCUGCAGGGGCACCAUGCUCUACCACCAUCUGAGCUACAGGGGCACCAUGCUCUACCACCAUCUGAGCUACAGGGGCACCAUGCUCUACCAACUGAGCUACAGGGGCACCAUGCUCUACCAACUGAGCUACAGGGGCACCAUGCUCUACCAACUGAGCUACAGGGGCACCAUGCUCUACCAACUGAGCUACGGGGGCACCAUGCUCUACCAACUGAGCUACAGGGGCACCAUGCUCUACCAACUGAGCUACAGGGGCACCAUGCUCUAACAACUGAGCUACAGGGGCACCAUGCUCUACCAACUGAGCUACCGGGACACCAUCCUCUACCACCAACUGGGCUACAGGAGCACCAUGCUCUACCACUAACUGGGCUACAGGGGCACCAUGCUCUACCACCAGCUGAGCUACAGGGGCACCAUGCUCUACCAACAACUGAGCUACAGGGGUACCAUGCUCUACCACCAUCUGAGCUACAGGAGCACUAUGCUCUACCAACUGGGCUACAGGAGCACCAUGCUCUACCACCAACUGGGCUACAGGGGCACCAUGCUCUACCACCAACUGGGCUAAAGGGGCACCAUGCUCUACCACCAACUGGGCUACAGGGGCACCAUGCUCUACCACCAACUGGGCUACAGGGGCACCAUGCUCUACCACCAACUGAGCUACAGUGGCACCAUGCUCUACCACCAACUGAGCUACAGGGGCACCAUGCUCUACCAACUGAGCUACAGGAGCACCAUGCUCUACCAACUGAGCUACAGGAGCACCAUGCUCUACCAACUGAGCUACAGGAGCACCAUGCUCUACCAACUGAGCUACAGGAGCACCAUGCUCUACCAACUGAGCUACAGGAGCACCAUGCUCUACCAACUGAGCUACAGGAGCACCAUGCUCUACCAACUGAGCUACAGGAGCACCAUGCUCUACCAACUGAGCUACAGGAGCACCAUGCUCUACCAACUGAGCUACAGGAGCACCAUGCUCUACCAACUGAGCUACAGGAGCACCAUGCUCUACCACUAACUGGGUUACAGGGGCACCAUACUCUACAAACUGAGCUACAAAUGACAAAAGGAUUAGGGUGA